Non-coding RNA from Macaca mulatta (Rhesus monkey), 1486 nucleotides. NCBI's taxonomy places the organism in Eukaryota, Metazoa, Chordata, Mammalia, Primates, Cercopithecidae. The record is from RefSeq and is a predicted model, not a curated record.
AACAGCUUCCUGCUAUUGCCAACUGCUGGGUGCCUCAACAUCCUUUGUUGGUUUCCUUAAACUUGUCCGCAUCUCUGUAAAUCAUCCUUUACUAAAUAGCCCUUCAUCUGAAGCGUCAGUAUGAAUGCCGUUCCUGCCAGGACUUUGACCAGUGCACAUGCAAUGCAGUGGAAUGCAGCUGAAAGGAGUGUUGACACCAGAUUCAAAUUUAGAAAGCAUUUGAAAGCAUGGUCUAAUAAUGUCUCCAUGGAAGAGGAAGAACGUGCUGACAAAGGAAGUGACGAAGCUCCCCAGGACCUGGUGCACCCCAUGUCUCCUGCAGGGUGACUGCUAGCUGGCAAAGCCUGUCCCUGUGUUGUAGGUCAGAUUCUCCAGAGGGAGAAGCAGACGGGCCAGAAGCUGGGUCAGGUAGGCAACCCUGUGGCAGAGGGGAGGGUGGCCCAACCCACAAGUGCAGUGACCCAUGGGCCCAGAACAAAGACACACUUUACCCACACCCAGGCAUGUGACAGAGUGGACUGGGCAUCUAAGUCCACCGGGGGAAACAGCAGGAAACAGAACAGAUGGUUGGGCUUACAUUCCGGUGGGGAGUUGGACAACACACGAGUAGAUCCAUAAAGUGAUCUCUGAGAGUGAUCUGUGCCGCCAAAAAAGGAAGACAGGGUCCUGCGACAGGGCUGACUGUGAAGCCUCCUUAGCCAGGCUGGACAGGGAUGCUCUCCCAGGAGCCUGCACUGGAGACUAGUGUGUCCCACCAGACUUUCACGCGGCCUGCGAGUGCUCAGCAAUGGUGACAACAGGGUCUCUACUCCAUGAAAAACCAUCCACAGACCCGAAAGCACUGCUUUCAUUUCAUGGUUCUGCACAUUUUCUCCAGCCUCUGUGGUGAAAGAUUAUUUCAUUGCCUUCAACAGAAGGCGUAUUUGUGUGUGUACAUAUGCUUGAGAGAAAUUUACUGAAAAGAUGUGGGUACGAGACCAGCUGGCUGCACUUGCCACGCCAGGAUCCUCUCUCAGCAAUAUGCCCAAGAGCUCGUGUUUGCAAUGCUCGAGUCCCAGCCAGGGGAGACACGGGUGUAAGGGACCCACAGGGGAACAUUUGUGUUGACUCGGAGCUCCGCAUGCCCCUUCAAAGGAGGGGAGAACCUUGGAGGGAGGAAAGGACUGAAGACUUUCCAGGGAAAUUUAAGAGUCUCAGGCAAUUAGUCAGAUCCAGAGUAUAGAUUCCAUAUUCAGAAGCAGAAGAGGGAAAUGCAGUUUUUUGGGGAUCUCUCUCUCCUAGUCUCCUUCUGAAAAGCGCUUUUCUAAGACCUCAAUUCCUAUACCUCCUCAAUGGGUAUGAUUCCUACCACUUUUUCAUAAGUAUAGUUUCCUUCAAAGUUUAAAAUUUUUGUAGAUCUUCAAGUAUGUAAGGCGUAGUAGUGCUAAACAGAGGUGGAAGUAGUGAAGGGAGUUUUGAACAUAAAAACAUAAAUCGCAAGGUGAUG